CAGGUAGGCGGCCUGAAAAGUGGGAAGUGAAAUCCACCGGCUUAAUCGGUGAACUGCUUUCCAAACUUUCGGGCUUGAGUGUGGGAGAGGAGAAUGGAACUCCUGGUGUAGAGGUGAAAUUCGUAGAUAUCAGGAGGAACACCAUUGGCGAAGGCGAUUCUCUGGACCACAACUGACGCUGAACUGCGAAAGCUAGGGGAGAGAACAGGAUUAGAUACCCUGGUAGUCC
RNAcentral lists this ribosomal RNA (229 nucleotides) under uncultured bacterium. Its description in RNAcentral is "partial 16S ribosomal RNA". It matches the Rfam family "Bacterial small subunit ribosomal RNA", at positions 568 to 796 of the family's 1533-position model. The record is from RNAcentral.